GCUACUCCUACUUUACCUCGGAUAUCCUCAUUCCCAAUCUUAUCCUUUCUCGUGUGCCCACACAUCCCACGAAGCAUCCUCAUCUCCGCUACACCCAUUUUGUGUACGUGUUGAUGCUUCACCGCCCAACAUUCUGUGCCAUACAACAUCGCUGGCCUUAUUGUCGUCCUAUAAAAUUUUCCCUUGAGCUUCAGUGGCCUACGACGGUCACACAACACGCCGGAUGCACUCUUACACUUCAUCCAUCCAGCUCGUAUUCUAUGGUUGAGAUCUCCAUCUAAUUCUCCGUUCUCUUGCAAGAUAGAUCCUAGGUAGCGAAAACGGUCGCUUUUUGUGAUCUUCGCUAGAUUGCUCCGGUCAUUAGUGUGGAUAAGUAUAUAAAUGGAUAGAGAUAGGAAAGCAAACACAAGAUGUACGUGGUUCACCCAGAUUGGCUACGUCCACAGAAUAGAAGAGUUCUCAUUAAUUGUGAAGGGUUUACACAAGUACAUAGGUUCAAGCUCUCCUUUAGUGAGUACAAGUGAAUGAUUU
Molecule: long non-coding RNA, 531 nt
Filed under: Malus domestica (apple)
Lineage: Eukaryota; Viridiplantae; Streptophyta; Magnoliopsida; Rosales; Rosaceae
Description: long non-coding RNA (MDOM_LNC009829)
Source: RNAcentral